AUAAUAAAAGAGCAUAAAUAAAAUAAUAGAUAGGAUAGGUCAGAGUCAACCUCUUCACAAACUCAAUGAUCAUCAUAAUACAUGCAAAGUUCUUGUAUGAUGCCAUGCUGAGUGGCAGGGCUCUGUUUCAGUGCUGUGCAAACAUAUUCCAAGUUCUUUGGCAUUGAAUAUUUCUCUUCAGUCUAAUAGCUGAUGGUUCAGAAUGUUACCUAUGGCUCUCCAUUUUCCACUUCACAAUAUUUUGUUGUUCUGGUAUAGGUGCAUGACAAUCUUUAUUGUUACAUUGCAGUACUUGCUGAGCCUCUGUGAUAGAAUCUGUUUGGAUAAAUUCCUCCACUGCUGCAGUCUAUGUUUGCACUAUCCAUCAUUUUAUGAUAAAAUGAUUAUGCUCCUUUCAGCUGCCUAUGCAUGUAUGAGUACCAUACAUACACAUGGAAUUUGACAGGGCUUGCCAACUGAAAUCAAUACAUAAAAUACAUGCUAUCUUAUAUAUUAAACUAGAUAGUAAUAUAGAUCUACCAUUAAUUUUCUGUCAUCUUUGAUUCCAAAGUAUCACUGGAUUAACGUUUUGCCUGAACAAAGGAAUCAUGUUAUGAUAAUUCAUCAAUACAUCUCUAAUCCAUUAAUUAAAAUCCCUAUCAUAAUUUUAAAGCACUACAGUAAAAUUCAGUUAUAGUGGGCAUUACAUGUCAGGUUAGAAUUGCUAGUUACAGAU
Molecule: long non-coding RNA, 715 nt
Filed under: Androctonus crassicauda
Lineage: Eukaryota; Metazoa; Arthropoda; Arachnida; Scorpiones; Buthidae
Source: RNAcentral